This is a non-coding RNA of Dentipellis sp. KUC8613, 107 nucleotides long. The record is from the annotation of a GenBank genome assembly. NCBI's taxonomy places the organism in Eukaryota, Fungi, Basidiomycota, Agaricomycetes, Russulales, Hericiaceae.
GGCUCAAUGGUCUAGUAGUAUGAUACUCGCUUCGGGUGCAAGCCCAUUACGUGCUUCGUCAUGUAAUCAGAUGUGAGUGGUCUCGGGUUCAAUUCCCGAUUGAGCCC